Molecule: small nucleolar RNA, 131 nt
Organism: Meriones unguiculatus (Mongolian gerbil)
Lineage: Eukaryota; Metazoa; Chordata; Mammalia; Rodentia; Muridae
Source: Ensembl
ACUGCCCCUAGAGACACUGCAGGUCUGGCUGCUGUGUCACACGUACGUCAGUAGGUGGCAGAGAGAAGAGGGGCUAUGUCCACGCUUAGUGUUCUGACCUACGAACAACUGAAUGCGGGUAGUCUAACAUU